UAGGGAAUAUUGGACAAUGGAGGCAACUCUGAUCCAGCCAUCCCGCGUGAAGGAUUAAGGUCCUAUGGAUUGUAAACUUCUUUUCUCUGGGAAUAAAAACUUCGAUUUAUCGGAGCUUGAAGGUACCAGAGGAAUAAGCACCGGCUAACUCCGUGCCAGCAGCCGCGGUAAUACGGAGGGUGCAAGCGUUAUCCGGAUUCACUGGGUUUAAAGGGUGCGUAGGUGGUCUUGUAAGUCAGUGGUGAAAGCCCGCAGCUUAACUGCGGAAUUGCCAUUGAUACUGCUUGACUUGAAUCAGGUCGAGGUGGAUGGAAUAUUACAUGUAGCGGUGAAAUGCUUAGAUAUGUAAUAGAACACCGAUUGCGAAGGCAGUUCACUAGGCCUGUAUUGACACUGAGGC
Molecule: ribosomal RNA, 400 nt
Filed under: uncultured bacterium
Lineage: Bacteria
Description: bacterial SSU rRNA
Rfam family: Bacterial small subunit ribosomal RNA
Source: RNAcentral